AGCAGCCGCGGUAAUUCCAGCUCCAAUAGCGUAUAUUAAAGUUGUUGCAGUUAAAAAGCUCGUAGUUGAAUUUCGGGGUUAGCAGGUCGGUCGUGCCAUCGGUAUGAACUGGUCUCGCUGAUCCCUCCCUCUUGACGAACUGUGAUGCCAUUAAUUUGGUGUCGCAGGGAAUCAGGACUGUUACUUUGAAAAAUUAGAGUGUUUAAAGCAGGCUCACGCUUGAAUACAUUAGCAUGGAAUAAUGAAAUAGGACGUUUGAUCCUAUUUUGUUGGCUUCUAGGAUUGACGUAAUGAUUAAUAGGGAUAGUUGGGGGCAUUAGUAUUCAAUUGUCAGAGGUGAAAUUCUUGGAUUUAUUGAAGACUAACUACUGCGAAAGCAUUUGCCAAGGAUGUUUUCAUUAAUCAAGAACGAAAGUUAGGGGAUCGAAGACGAUCAGAUACCGUCGUAGUCUUAACCAUAAACCUAUGCCGACUAGGGAUCGGAUGAUGUUAAUUUUUAAUGACUC
This 506-nucleotide unclassified non-coding RNA is filed under the name uncultured Glomus. RNAcentral's name for it is "SSU rRNA". It matches the Rfam family "Eukaryotic small subunit ribosomal RNA", at positions 569 to 1077 of the family's 1831-position model. The record is from RNAcentral. Lineage: Eukaryota; Fungi; Glomeromycota; Glomeromycetes; Glomerales; Glomeraceae.